CGGUAAGUAAAAAGCUUAUGGAGUCAUAGUUCCUUACUUUUGCAAUGAAAUGCAGUUCACAAUGUCGCACAGGAAACCACAGAAUCACAUGAGACCUGCGUUUAAAGUCAUUGUCGUGCACUCACUACAGCAUAGCAUUCAAGGCAGAAAUGAAAGGCUUAUACUGUUUCGUUGUUUGGAUAUUUUCCUCCACAAUAUGGACUGGAGCAGUUUACAGAAAACCUACAUGCCAUUCAGUUCUGGACAAUUGUAUGAAAUCUGGAGAUGUUCUACAGUGUAUGGAACAGAAGAUGAAAAAUUGCUCUGCUAUAAGGCCUCGUAUUCCUACACCAAACUAUUUUGUUAAAAGCAUUGACUCCUUAGUGAAAUCACUAGAUACAGAAAAAGGAUACGUAAUCAACAUCUCAGACGAAGCGCUGCAAAGAAGCAGAGAUGGACUGGAGAAUAGUAGCAGUGAAGAUGUUAAGUUGAAAGUCUAUCUUCUGGAUGAAAGCUUGUUUAAAAUAACCAGCAGUUCAGAAAUUAAGGUACAUAUACAAGUGGGAAAAAUAAGUAUCGAAUGCGUCACAUUUUUCUCAGAAAACAUAUUGCUAAAAGGUGUUGCCAGAACAACCAAAGAAAUCCAAAUAUGCAAAGAAAACAAAUCUAAUUAGUUUACAAAUGAAGUUAUGCGUAAUAAAAUGAAAUGACACAUAUGGAAAAGUACUGAACACAUGAAGAAAGGAACAUGAAGAACUUCACAUGAAGAAAGGAACAAAGGAACCCACUGGAUGACUCUGGUCUACAAGGCUCUUCUGGGACUGGUGCCUUCAUACCUAUGUCCCCUUCUCCAUAAGUCUAAAAGCCAGUAUGCCCUACGCUCAAGUGAAUCUUAUCAUUUGACUGUUCCCCGGGUUCGAACUGAAAUAGGGAAGCGAGCCUUUAGUCAUGCCGCUCCCUCAUCGUGGAAUACUCUUCAGUCUGAACUAAAGAUAUCUGAGCUCAUCCCAAUGACAGUUUCGCUCUAUCCUUUUUACAAACAACACCAGUCCCUUUCUCAAUGUAUGUGUUUUUAAUUUAUUGAAAUGUGGUAAAGC
Molecule: long non-coding RNA, 1076 nt
Filed under: Danio rerio (zebrafish)
Lineage: Eukaryota; Metazoa; Chordata; Actinopteri; Cypriniformes; Danionidae
Description: lncRNA (ENSDARG00000117263.1)
Source: RNAcentral